GCUCAGAUUGAACGCUGGCGGCAGGCUUAACACAUGCAAGUCGAGCGGGGGAAGGUAGCUUGCUACUGGACCUAGCGGCGGACGGGUGAGUAAUGCUUAGGAAUCUGCCUAUUAGUGGGGGACAACAUCUCGAAAGGGAUGCUAAUACCGCAUACGUCCUACGGGAGAAAGCAGGGGAUCUUCGGACCUUGCGCUAAUAGAUGAGCCUAAGUCGGAUUAGCUAGUUGGUGGGGUAAAGGCCUACCAAGGCGACGAUCUGUAGCGGGUCUGAGAGGAUGAUCCGCCACACUGGGACUGAGACACGGCCCAGACUCCUACGGGAGGCAGCAGUGGGGAAUAUUGGACAAUGGGGGGAACCCUGAUCCAGCCAUGCCGCGUGUGUGAAGAAGGCCUUAUGGUUGUAAAGCACUUUAAGCGAGGAGGAGGCUACUUUAGUUAAUACCUAGAGAUAGUGGACGUUACUCGCAGAAUAAGCACCGGCUAACUCUGUGCCAGCAGCCGCGGUAAUACAGAGGGUGCGAGCGUUAAUCGGAUUUACUGGGCGUAAAGCGUGCGUAGGCGGCUUAUUAAGUCGGAUGUGAAAUCCCCGAGCUUAACUUGGGAAUUGCAUUCGAUACUGGUGAGCUAGAGUAUGGGAGAGGAUGGUAGAAUUCCAGGUGUAGCGGUGAAAUGCGUAGAGAUCUGGAGGAAUACCGAUGGCGAAGGCAGCCAUCUGGCCUAAUACUGACGCUGAGGUACGAAAGCAUGGGGAGCAAACAGGAUUAGAUACCCUGGUAGUCCAUGCCGUAAACGAUGUCUACUAGCCGUUGGGGCCUUUGAGGCUUUAGUGGCGCAGCUAACGCGAUAAGUAGACCGCCU
Molecule: ribosomal RNA, 858 nt
Filed under: Acinetobacter baumannii
Lineage: Bacteria; Pseudomonadati; Pseudomonadota; Gammaproteobacteria; Moraxellales; Moraxellaceae
Description: bacterial SSU rRNA
Rfam family: Bacterial small subunit ribosomal RNA
Source: RNAcentral